UUUUAUUUAAUUGUUUUAAUUAUUUUCUUUUACGUUUUGAAGGGAUUCAUCACUGUGAAAACAGAUGUAAAAUAUAUGAAGGAUUUAGAUUGAGAUCAUUUCUAAGGGAGGUGCCAGGAGCCCAACUAAUCAGGUUGGGCCUAGAAGAUUUGCAUCAACAGCCCAAUGAAAAUAUAGGCUUUAAAUAUAAGGGACCAUUCUGUAUUGGAAAGAAAGAUGUUGUGUGUGUGUGUGUGUGUGUGUGUGUUCCCAUAGACUGUGAAGACUACUGUAAAGUCAUUGUUUUCGGCUGUUGAGUAAUAAGCCUAACCUGAUGACUCAUUGUCUACCACGUAAGCAAACCAGGAGCGUCAUAUAAUCGGUUUGUUGUCAGGUGUGUGUGGUCUGGUUAUCUGUGAUCUGUUUGUCAGUGUGUGUGUGUGUGUGUGUGGUUUGGUUAUCUGUGAUCGGUUUGUUGUCAGGUGUGGUUUGGGUAUCCCGUUGAUUGGCUGUAAUGCUAUUUCUGCCUACAUGACUACUUGCUUUCAGUUGACCUUGAUCCCAUUAGUGCGUGACCUUCAGAGAUGUAGAUAGAUGGAUGUACAUCUGAACUUCAAUGGUGCUCCCAGCGUUGUUAAAUGACCAGAACCCUAUUUGUGUGGAGGGAGGAAAGUUGACAUAUCUUUGCCUAAAUUGUAAAAUAAACUGAAUUAUUUGAAUCGUAGAUUCUUAAUCGUGUGUAGUCAGUGGUCAUGGGUGAUGUGGGUGAUCCAUUUGGAUGUGAAGAAAUCUGAAGGAGUUUAGGGACACGCUUGAGCUAUUCAACACUGAAUAGAAUGGCUCAUCUCUACGGUACGGGAAUGGAUCUCUACUGUGGCCCUUAUCUCUAUGGUACAGAGCUGGGUGAUCCAUUUGGAUGUAAAUAAAUCUGAAGGAGUUUAGGGACACGCUUGAGCUCCUCAACACUGAAUGGAAUGGCUCAUCUCUAUGGUACAGGAAUGGAUCUCUGCUGUGGUCCUUAUCUCUAUGGUACAGAGUUGUUCCAGAGUCAGCCAGCGUCUUUGUUGAGUUUUGUCUUUGUUCCUUUCGGGUAAAAGGGAUGCAUUUUUCUCAUGUGAUUGUCUGUACAUUUUGACUUUUUUUUUUACUUUUAUUUUCUUUGUAGUUUGUCAUUUUGAUAAUGAAGAACAUGAUGUUGUAUCUCUUUAACUGGGUUGAAUUGAAGGACAUGCUGUUGUAUCUCUUUAACUGUGUUGAAUUGAAGGACAUGCUGUUGUAAUCUCUUUAACUGUGUUGAAUUGAAGGACAUGCUGUUGUAUCUCUUUAACUGUGUUGAAUUGAAGGACAUGCUGUUGUAAUCUCUUUAACUGUGUUGAAUUGAAGGACAUGCUGUUGUAUCUCUUUAACUGUGUUGAAUUGAGCCCAAUUGCAGACGAAACGGCCCCAGGCCUUCAGUGGAUCUGCCGCCAACAAGCGAAAAACACAGACUGCUGACCUCUAUGGCUCUGGGGCCCCAUGUAGCCUCGUCUCGUUCCGAUGUAGCCUCGCCUCGUCUCAUCUGGACUGGAGUUUGAGAGCCCUCAUCAUGAAGUCUAUUAGCAAAUGAAAUCAUAAGGUCGUAGGUCAGGCGGAGCGCUGGAUCUCUCAUGAUUUGUGUUCCUCUUUCAUUACCAGAAUUUGUCUAUUGCAAAUAAAAGUGAC
This is a long non-coding RNA of Clupea harengus (Atlantic herring), 1680 nucleotides long. NCBI's taxonomy places the organism in Eukaryota, Metazoa, Chordata, Actinopteri, Clupeiformes, Clupeidae. The record is from Ensembl.